UACGAGUCUUUCCAUGUAUCCCAGUGAUCGUGAACGAAAACAGAAGUCGAGCGAAAUUGAGAAAAAAUAUAGAAAAUUGAAAUUGAGGCGAAACUUACUGUGAAAUGGUUUGUAGAGACCUCCUGAAGGACACGAUGGGCGCGGCCGAGUAGGAUGCGGCCUCAUGCAAGAUGUCUCGUGUAGGGGGAGGGGCCAGGACCAAGCCCAGGACUCUGCAGGACGUGUGUGCUGACUGUGGGGCGCCAGAGCCAGGCUGGGCAUCAAUCAACCGAGGGAUUCUCAUUUGUGACGAGUGUUGCAGCGUCCACAGGUCUUUAGGAAGACACAUCUCUCAGGUCAAGUCUCUUAAGAAAGGAACAUGGAAUCCUGUACAACAUGCACUGGUGCACACACUGUACAGCAGUGGUGCAAACAAUAUCUGGGAACAUACACUCUUGGACCCCAGCGUUGCCAAAACUGGCAGACGCAAACCUCACCCCAAGGAUCCAGUCCACCCUACCAAAGCUGACUUUAUAAGAGCAAAGCACCAGAUGUUGUCAUUUGUGUACCGGCCAUCAAGAGAAGAUGCAAGUGAAGAUGGGGAUGUCAGCCGACAGCUUCAUUCCAGUGUGCGCACCUCCAACCUUGAAACCUCAUUACGGCUCCUGUCCCAAGGAGCUGACCCAAAUUAUUAUCAUAAGGAAAAAAACUGUUGUCCCCUCCAUGUAGCAGCUAAAGCAGGGCAGGCAGCUCAAGUGGAGUUGCUGAUGGUGUAUGGGGCAGACCCAGGGGCUUUUGAUGGUCAGGGGAACACACCUGCACUCUAUGCAAGUGAGGCCAAUCAUUUAGACUUAGCAGAACACCUAGUGGAGAGUCAGUAUGAGCUGACAGACAGGUUGGCCUUCUACCUUUGUGGGCGGAAACCUGAUCACACCCUUGGACAGCACUGGAUCAUACCUGAAAUGGCCGACUCCCUGGACAUGUCAGAUCUGGCCAAAGAAGCAAGAGUUAAACUUCAACACUUGCCAAACCAUCUGUUUGAAGAAUUGGCAUGUGAUGUGUAUGAUGAGGUUGAUCGACGCGAGACAGAUUCUAUAUGGCUGUCUUUACAAAAUCAAAGUGCUCUGGUGAGUGAUCGCUGCACUGUACCUUUUCUCCCUGUCAACCCAGAGUUCUCUUCCACCAGAAACCAAGGACGCCAAAAACUAGCAAGAUUUAAUGCAAGAGAAUUUGCCACACUUAUCAUAGAUGUCCUCUCAGAUGCUAAAAGACGGCAGACAGGAAUUUCAUCUCCAAGUGGAACCCCAAAAGAUAAAGACUUCGGUGACGUGACGUUGACACUGCCUAACUCUCCUAAAGUAAACCUGCACAACAACAAUACCCUGAGCUUAAACCAGAGAUUAAUCAAUCCCGCCACAUCUGCUGGCAGCACCACGGCUAACCCCACACCAGUGCUGCCACUCACAAACAAAGACUCCCAACACAUACGACAGACACCAAACUCACUAGGUUCCUUGUCGUCUAGCACAAGCAUUCUGACUGUCACUUCCACUGGGAUCACAGACACUUCCUCAGGCCCCUCCUCACUCCCCACCUCUGCUCUCACCACCACAACCAACAACAACAAAGGUGAAAUGACAGAUGACGGGGAACCCCUGUACGACUCUGUGGCAUCGGAAGAUGACUACUCCUAUGUGGAACAAAUGCAGAAGUUACGACACCAAACAGAAAUUUUAGCGGACCAGAAAAGGCAGCAUCAGCUGGAAGAAAUGUAUGCAGAGCCAAACAGUGACUUGCUAGCAGGGAUGGAUUCUACAGUGAGCUUGGAAGAAUACCUCGAGAUGAAAGAGAAGUUAGAAAGCAGUGAGGCCAGAAUCCAGGAGCUACAGAAUAACAAUGCACACAUGCAGUCGCAGCUGGAUGAGCUCAGCUCGACCGUGCGUAAACUGAUCCGUGAGCGAUUGUACCUCCAGUCUACAUCGCCUCAGCGCAAACUGCAGAAGAGUAGAUGGGAAGACAGUCCCUUGGUUGUGGGAUGCCUGCACUUCACUUCCAGAAUUUAUAGCAGUGCUGUUCUCUUUAAACUGUCACGUGUUUAAGGCAUAGAUGCAUGUACAUUUGCCUUUUUAUGAGAUUUUGUAUUUGUAAGAUGAAUGUUGGAUACAAGGUUAAAAGUUUGCGUGAAGAGAACAUGAGCCUGCGGUCGCUGUAUGGCAGCGGGAGUAUGGGUGGGUCCAUGCACCCCUCGUCCUCUCAUGUGCCCACGCCCCCUCCCCCUCUCCUCCCCCU
RNAcentral lists this unclassified non-coding RNA (2268 nucleotides) under Penaeus japonicus. RNAcentral's name for it is "aRF GTPase-activating protein GIT2-like, transcript variant X3". Lineage: Eukaryota; Metazoa; Arthropoda; Malacostraca; Decapoda; Penaeidae. The record is from RNAcentral.